UCCGGAGGGUGCAAUCGUUGUUCGGAAUUACUGGGCGUAAAGGGCGUGUAGGUGGUUGACUAAGUCAGGUGUGAAAGCCCUCAGAUCAACUGAGGAAGCGCAUCUGAAACUGGUUAACUUGAGUACGGGAGAGGAGAGUGGAAUUCCUGGUGUAGAGGUGAAAUUCGUAGAUAUCAGGAGGAACAUCGGUGGCGAAGGCGACUCUCUGGACCGAUACUGACACUGAGACGCGAAAGCGUGGGGAGCAAACAGG
Molecule: ribosomal RNA, 253 nt
Filed under: uncultured bacterium
Lineage: Bacteria
Description: partial 16S ribosomal RNA
Rfam family: Bacterial small subunit ribosomal RNA
Source: RNAcentral